UAGUUCUAUUCCAUCCAUCUC
This 21-nucleotide non-coding RNA is filed under the name Caenorhabditis elegans. Lineage: Eukaryota; Metazoa; Nematoda; Chromadorea; Rhabditida; Rhabditidae. The record is from RNAcentral.